GUACUACUCCCUCCAUGCCAAAAUUCUUAUCUUAAAUUUGUCUAAAUACAGAUGUAUCAAGUCACAUUUUAGUAUUAGAUGCAUCCGUAUCUAGACAAAUGUAAGACAAGAAUUUGGGACAGAGGGAGUACGAC
Non-coding RNA from Triticum urartu, 134 nucleotides. Lineage: Eukaryota; Viridiplantae; Streptophyta; Magnoliopsida; Poales; Poaceae. The record is from Rfam.